GAUGAAGAACGUAGCGAAAUGCGAUAAGUAAUGUGAAUUGCAGAAUUCAGUGAAUCAUCGAAUCUUUGAACGCACAUUGCGCCCGCCAGUAUUCUGGCGGGCAUGCCUGUUCGAGCGUCAUUUCAACCAUCAAGCCCCAGGCUUGUGUUGGGGACCUGCGGCUGCCGCAGGCCCUGAAAACCAGUGGCGGGCUCGCUGUCACACCGGGCGUAGUAGAUUUUAUCUCGCUCAGGGCGUGCUGCGGGUUCCGGCCGUUAAAAAGCCUUUUUUACCCAAGGUUGACCUCGGAUCAGGUAGGAAUACCCGCUGAACUUAAGCAUAUCAAUGAGCGGAGGA
This 336-nucleotide unclassified non-coding RNA is filed under the name soil metagenome. RNAcentral describes it as "partial contains 5.8S ribosomal RNA, internal transcribed spacer 2, and large subunit ribosomal RNA". The stretch from base 1 to 120 matches the Rfam family "5.8S ribosomal RNA", at positions 35 to 154 of the family's 154-position model. The record is from RNAcentral.